UAACUACGUGCCAGCAGCCGCGGUAAUACGUAGGUGGCAAGCGUUAUCCGGAAUUAUUGGGCGUAAAGCGCGCGUAGGCGGUUUUUUAAGUCUGAUGUGAAAGCCCACGGCUCAACCGUGGAGGGUCAUUGGAAACUGGAAAACUUGAGUGCAGAAGAGGAAAGUGGAAUUCCAUGUGUAGCGGUGAAAUGCGCAGAGAUAUGGAGGAACACCAGUGGCGAAGGCGACUUUCUGGUCUGUAACUGACGCUGAUGUGCGAAAGCGUGGGGAUCAAACAGGAUUAGAUACCCUGGUAGUCCACGCCGUAAACGA
RNAcentral lists this ribosomal RNA (312 nucleotides) under Staphylococcus aureus. Its description in RNAcentral is "bacterial SSU rRNA". It matches the Rfam family "Bacterial small subunit ribosomal RNA", at positions 498 to 809 of the family's 1533-position model. The record is from RNAcentral. Lineage: Bacteria; Bacillati; Bacillota; Bacilli; Caryophanales; Staphylococcaceae.